AACCCAACAGCUAGCCCACCUACCAACCUAACAACUAACUAUAAAUAAACCCUAAUACCCCAAACCUAAAAUAAACAAACCAUUUUUCCGUCCUAGUAUGUGCGACAGAAAAG
RNAcentral lists this ribosomal RNA (113 nucleotides) under Sargocentron rubrum (redcoat). RNAcentral's name for it is "partial 16S ribosomal RNA". Lineage: Eukaryota; Metazoa; Chordata; Actinopteri; Holocentriformes; Holocentridae. The record is from RNAcentral.